RNAcentral lists this unclassified non-coding RNA (241 nucleotides) under plant metagenome. Its description in RNAcentral is "partial contains small subunit ribosomal RNA, internal transcribed spacer 1, and 5.8S ribosomal RNA". The record is from RNAcentral.
UUUCCGUAGGUGAACCUGCGGAAGGAUCAUUAAAGGGUAAGGGUCUUCGGGCCCGAUCUCCAACCCUUUGUUUAACUACCAUGUUGCUUUGGCGGGCCCGUCUCACGACCGCCGGAAGUUUGGCUUCGACCAAACUUCUGGCCCGUGCCCGUCAGUGGCCCCUUCAAAUUCUUGAUCAAGUAUGAUGUCUUAGUUAAAAACUUAAUAGUUAAAACUUCCAACAACGGAUCUCUUGGUUCUG